RNAcentral lists this ribosomal RNA (253 nucleotides) under uncultured bacterium. RNAcentral describes it as "partial 16S ribosomal RNA". It matches the Rfam family "Bacterial small subunit ribosomal RNA", at positions 524 to 776 of the family's 1533-position model. The record is from RNAcentral.
UACAGAGGUCCCAAGCGUUGUUCGGAUUCACUGGGCGUAAAGGGUGCGUAGGUGGUCGGGUAAGUCUGAUGUGAAAUCUCCGGGCCUAACCCGGAAACUGCAUCGGAUACUAUUCGGCUAGAGGGUUGGAGGGGGGACUGGAAUACUUGGUGUAGCAGUGAAAUGCGUAGAUAUCAAGUGGAACACCAGUGGCGAAGGCGAGUCCCUGGACAACUCCUGACACUGAGGCACGAAAGCUAGGGGAGCAAGCAGG